GAACGGUAGCACAGAGAGCUUGCUCUUGGGUGACGAGUGGCGGACGGGUGAGUAAUGUCUGGGAAACUGCCCGAUGGAGGGGGAUAACUACUGGAAACGGUAGCUAAUACCGCAUAACGUCUUCGGACCAAAGUGGGGGACCUUCGGGCCUCACACCAUCGGAUGUGCCCAGAUGGGAUUAGCUAGUAGGUGGGGUAACGGCUCACCUAGGCGACGAUCCCUAGCUGGUCUGAGAGGAUGACCAGCCACACUGGAACUGAGACACGGUCCAGACUCCUACAGGAGGCAGCAGUGGGGAAUAUUGCACAAUGGGCGCAAGCCUGAUGCAGCCAUGCCGCGUGUAUGAAGAAGGCCUUCGGGUUGUAAAGUACUUUCAGUGGGGAGGAAGGCGAUGGAGUUAAUAGCUUCGUCGAUUGACGUUACCCGCAGAAGAAGCACCGGCUAACUCCGUG
Molecule: ribosomal RNA, 452 nt
Filed under: uncultured bacterium
Lineage: Bacteria
Description: bacterial SSU rRNA
Rfam family: Bacterial small subunit ribosomal RNA
Source: RNAcentral